UUGUUGAUGAGGAAAGUGAUGUCAGUGCUUCAUCGAGCAACCUAAGGUCCCAUUAUUGCUGGCAGUUCUCCUGUCUCCUCCCUUCUUGAAUUUCGGCUUAAUCCAGUGACGAUGGUUAGCAAAGAGAUGAGGGAGUGGUCGUGGGGAGGCUCCUUCACUGGCAGAUUCGGCUAUCCUUCCUUUACUAGAGUCUAGCGCCGUGCUUUUCUCCUGCCCUUCCCUGCUUCUCUCUGCUUUCACUUCCCACCUUGACAUUUAAAGCCUCUGUUCUCUGAGUGACAGUGAUGCUAAUGUUUGUCUUUUGCAGGGCUCCUUUUGAUGCUAGGCUCAGAGAACAUUCAAGAUAGUAACAGAUUGAUGCUGCUUCUGAAACCCAAUUUAAAGCAAGAAGGAGUGGGUGCCUGUUUUAUCCUGAAGCUGGAACCAGCAGCUCUCCCCUGGGUGACCACCCUGAAGUGGACGUCAUUUCUGAUCUAGGUGGAAGAGUAAGACAUAAAGGACAACUGGAGUGAGGGGGCAGGAGGCUGUCCCCGCCAGACAGUGGUGUUUGUAGCAGAAGCUCUUCUCUAUAAGGGGAAGGUGGACGCACCAGGAUCUUGACUGUAUUUUCCAGCUGAGUCUUCCUGAUUCGGACACGUCUUAAAACUUUAGACUUUUUAGAGCAUUGGUUUGGCGUGAUGGAGCCCACGUGUAAUUUACAUAAAAGUAAUAAAUGGUUCAUUGAAACUACA
Non-coding RNA from Saimiri boliviensis boliviensis (Bolivian squirrel monkey), 731 nucleotides. NCBI's taxonomy places the organism in Eukaryota, Metazoa, Chordata, Mammalia, Primates, Cebidae. The record is from RefSeq and is a predicted model, not a curated record.